UUUUAAUUUUUAAUAAAAUUUUUAUUUUAAAUAUUUUUAUUAAAAUAAUCAUUAAAAUAUAAUAAUUUAUUUAAGUUAAUGAGCUUGAACAAGCAUUU
RNAcentral lists this transfer RNA (98 nucleotides) under Cladotanytarsus australomancus. RNAcentral's name for it is "partial tRNA-Ser". Lineage: Eukaryota; Metazoa; Arthropoda; Insecta; Diptera; Chironomidae. The record is from RNAcentral.